UACGGAGGGUGCAAGCGUUAUUCGGAUUCACUGGGUUUAAAGGGUGCGUAGGCGGGCAGGUAAGUCAGUGGUGAAAUCUCCGGGCUUAACCCGGAAACUGCCGUUGAUACUAUCUGUCUUGAAUAUCGUGGAGGUAAGCGGAAUAUGUCAUGUAGCGGUGAAAUGCUUAGAUAUGACAUAGAACACCCAUUGCGAAGGCAGCUUACUACACGAUCAUUGACGCUGAGGCACGAAAAGCGUGGGGGAGCAAACAGG
Molecule: ribosomal RNA, 255 nt
Filed under: uncultured bacterium
Lineage: Bacteria
Description: partial 16S ribosomal RNA
Rfam family: Bacterial small subunit ribosomal RNA
Source: RNAcentral